GAUUCCACCUGUUGGAUAUCCCAUACACAGGGAAAGGAAUCCUCCUUGUCCUGUAGCCACUUUUCUUUAUAUUUACCCCUUGUCUCCUCCACAUCCUCUCCCUUCCACACCAACAGUUUCUGGUGCUGAAAUGUUCUGACUUCAGAGAGGCCUGAAGGAAGUGAGUGACGACAGGAUAUCCAUGCUGAGAAACUGGGAGCAUGGAUAUUUGGAAAAGAAAUACAGGCUUAGCAGCAGUGGAGUAAGCAUCUACAUGAAGUAUACUCAGCUCAUCCCUGGAAUCACUCUACCUCGGGUAACAGUGAGGUAUCAAGGAGGUAUUUUGCUCUUUCUACGAAAUUUUUGAGAAGAAACUUCCUGUAACAUCUGACAAGACCACGCACCACCCCCAGGAGAGCUGUUCUCAUCCAGGCAGGGGACUCAUGAGCACGAAGGAACCUCUGCUCCUCUGGCUCAGGCCACAGCACAAAUCCACUCUGCAGAGGGUGCAAUAGUGGAUACCACUGCUCAAGGCAGCAUAAGGAAAUGCUAAAGAAAUGCAACUUCUUUAACAUUUCCUGGCCCCUGGAAGUGAGGAUUGGGCUUUCAGGGGUCAUUCUGAAGGAGGGUGGUGGGAGAUGCCUUUUGAUGCCCAAGGGAUCGCAUGUCUUGUAAAAAGGGUGGAGGGCAGUAGGAAGACCGGAAUGGUGCCAGAGUGUCAGAGGCUUGUCUCAUCGAUGGCUGAUUGAGCAAGGAGACUUUGCAAACCUCUCUCAGGCACUUUGUACUCGAAGAUGAGGGAUACACAGUCACUGAAGAAGGAGGCUGAUCAAACUACUCUUACCAUGAAGAAGAUACUGUGGAUCUGUAAUCCAGGCAGUGCUGAUUAUUGCUUGUAGCCUCUUUGUUUUGUAAAUGAACACAAAAAGUGCAGUGUCCUCUUAAGAAUUAGGGUGCAGCUCCAUGUUAAGGAUCCUUCAUUAGCAGAUCCAAAAUACCCUCUCUAUACCCUGUCCCUGCUCCCAAGCAAGGGGGCUGCCUCUGCUGCCAUGCCUAUUCCUGGUGUGACCAAGAGUGGUGAAAAUAGGUAAAUUAUAGCAAGAAGUGCAUAGAAAAAUAGAUAGAUAAUAGGAAAAAAGUGCUUCUUUAGGACCAGGCCAUUCUACGUCUCUGUGUUAACUGAGCUGGUGCAAAGGAGAGAGAUAACUGAACUUCCUAGGGGAUGGGAGGUGGCAGGGGUGAGUGUGGAUGGUGGGGGCAGGGGCAGAAACUUCUAACAAAUGCUGCUGCCAAAGGACUGAAAACAUCAUAAUCCACUCUUAAUUUAUUGGGAUGGAUUUUGUCUAACUCUACUAAAAAACAGGUGUGCAUAUGGACACUGGGCAUGUCUGGAGAGCAAGAGCCCUAUCCCAUGUAAUAAAUCAGCUCCUUGCUGCUGAGAUGCUCUUUCUGUCCUCUGUGAGGGAGUCCAGAUGCCCAGCUGACCCAACUGCCUAACUCUUCGAUUGCUAAAGUGAGCUCAGAUGAGUCUGCUCUUACCCUUUAUUUAUGUUCAUGUAUUGUCUGAGUUUACAAAUAAAUCCACUAAGUAGUUUGAUUAUGAACAGAUUCUGUAAGCACCUAACAUUGGACCUAUGUUAACGAUGGAAAAAAAGAAAAAUCUUUGUAGGUUACACUGUUAAAGAAAUAUGAUCAUCCUCCAUUUUGUGUCAUUUGCCAAAUGUAGUUUCUUGCCAACACUGAAAAAUCAUGUUCUGCUGGAGGAAAUUCCUUAAAGGCUUGCCAUCUCUCAACAUCACUUCUCUCUUCUAUUGUUUCUAGAAGGAAUAAAACUCCAGAGUGCUUUAAGCAAAAACGACCACUGCUUCUCUUUGUCAUUUGAACAGAGCUUAACCUCUUUUCUAAGGACAGCUUGCUUUCAUUCUCCAGAG
Molecule: long non-coding RNA, 1910 nt
Organism: Cygnus atratus (black swan)
Lineage: Eukaryota; Metazoa; Chordata; Aves; Anseriformes; Anatidae
Exons: 3
Source: RefSeq, a predicted model, not a curated record